CACUACUAAAGAAAGGCUUAUCUUUCAUUCCUACUCCGGGAGCCAAUAGAUUAGAUUGGCUCAAGGGUACCAAUCUAUUUGAGGAAAUUGGCCCUGUGUGCCCUUCAUAAACGAAAGGAACAUAAAUUGUGCAAGGAAAUUGGUAUUUCCUCAGAAGACCAUCCCCAUCUACAAACUCUAGCACAAUUAUUAGAUGAACAGGACGAUACUCCACCCCUCACAGACUUGAAACCUCCAAGCUGGUACACUCCUAAUUUUAAAGAGCUCACUAAUGUUGAUCUAUUUGUCCAAAUAACUACCAACAAGAUUGAAAAAUUAUUAAUACCUAACAUAGAAGAACAAAAUCUGACAUUUAAUGAACAAGAGCUUUGCAGGAAUUGAGUACCAACAAAAACCUCAUUAUAAAGUCUUCGAACAAAGGAGGUAACACAGUCCUUUUGAAUUGCGACCUGUACAUCUCAAUGAUAGACACUUCAUGUUAUGAAAAACGUACCAAGGUGUUAGAAAACUAUAUACUUUUAUUCCCCAAGUUACUGUCCCUGCGUUCAGUUGAUAAAUCUAUUGAACACCGACCACCCCCCUGGCUCAUUAAGUUCAAAGAAACCCCAAAAUUAAGUGCUCUCCCUGUGUGGCCGCCAUUUGUAUAACCGAACAACAAGUGCUGACGAAAAUGGUGGCCAUCUUGUCGCACGAAAGCAGGCAGCGGGACUUGGUCGUUGAGUGUCUGGAACUCUAAGUCUAACACUCGAUCACGCGAACAGUGGGCAAACUUCACGAACACCUGCUUCGUUCCACGACAAACCUGGAGAGCGCUGUUCGGUAGGUUUGUUCGCACGAACAAGGCAAACAAACACUACCUCUUAGCCAGGGGAACCGCUCAUUGUUUCGUUCGGUUUGGAACUCCCAAAAUUGCCACAGAAACUACCACAUACCACAGAAACUAUGGAACUGUUUUGGGCGUGCGCCUCAUGAGCGGUUGGCCAAAACUUUACCCCGGUGGUGAUUCGACUGUGUUCGUGGAAUCUAUGUGCUAUUUGCACAACUUGGGCGCUCAGGUCAAGGCUAUCUGGCGAUAUGACAUUUAUGGGGGUUCCUAUAUGUUUUGUGUGUAUUAUUAUGUAUUUUUAAUAUUUU
Pelobates cultripes (western spadefoot toad) is the source of this 1134-nucleotide non-coding RNA. The record is from the annotation of a GenBank genome assembly. Lineage: Eukaryota; Metazoa; Chordata; Amphibia; Anura; Pelobatidae.